Molecule: ribosomal RNA, 112 nt
Filed under: Paenibacillus larvae
Lineage: Bacteria; Bacillati; Bacillota; Bacilli; Caryophanales; Paenibacillaceae
Source: RNAcentral
UUUGGUGACGAUAGCGGAAGGGAACCACGCGUACCCAUCCCGAACACGGCCGUUAAGCCUUCCAGCGCCGAUGGUACUUGGACCGAAGGGUCCGAGUAGGACGUUGCCAAGC